This 440-nucleotide ribosomal RNA is filed under the name uncultured bacterium. RNAcentral's name for it is "partial 16S ribosomal RNA". It matches the Rfam family "Bacterial small subunit ribosomal RNA", at positions 338 to 795 of the family's 1533-position model. The record is from RNAcentral.
CCUACGGGAGGCAGCAGUGGGGAAUAUUGCACAAUGGGGGAAACCCUGAUGCAGCGACGCCGCGUGAAGGAAGAAGGAUUUCGGUAUGUAAACUUCUAUCCGCAGGGAAGAAAAUGACGGUACCAGACUAAGAAGCCCCGGCUAACUACGUGCCAGCAGCCGCGGUAAUACGUAGGGAGCAAGCGUUAUCCGGAUUUACUGGGUGUAAAGGGUGCGUAGGCGGUUCAGCAAGUCAGAAGUGAAAGCCAGGGGCUCAACUCCGGGACUGCUUUUGAAACUGUUGAACUAGAUUGCAGGAGAGGUAAGUGGAAUUCCUGGUGUAGCGGUGAAAUGCGUAGAUAUUAGGAGGAACACCAGUGGCGAAGGCGGCUUACUGGACUGUAAAUGACGCUGAGGCUCGAAAGCGUGGGGAGCAAACAGGAUUAGAUACCCGAGUAGUC